CCUACGGGAGGCUGCAGUGGGGAAUAUUGCACAAUGGGCGCAAGCCUGAUGCAGCCAUGCCGCGUGUGUGAAGAAGGCCUUCGGGUUGUAAAGCACUUUCAGCGGGGAGGAAGGCGGUGAGGUUAAUAACCUCAUCGAUUGACGUUACCCGCAGAAGAAGCACCGGCUAACUCCGUGCCAGCAGCCGCGGUAAUACGGAGGGUGCAAGCGUUAAUCGGAAUUACUGGGCGUAAAGCGCACGCAGGCGGUCUGUCAAGUCGGAUGUGAAAUCCCCGGGCUCAACCUGGGAACUGCAUUCGAAACUGGCAGGCUAGAGUCUUGUAGAGGGGGGUAGGAUUCCAGGUGUAGCGGUGAAAUGCGUAGAGAUCUGGAGGAAUACCGGUGGCGAAGGCGGCCCCCUGGACAAAGACUGACGCUCAGGUGCGAAAGCGUGGGGAGCAAACAGGAUUAGAUACCCCGGUAGUC
Molecule: ribosomal RNA, 465 nt
Filed under: uncultured Klebsiella sp.
Lineage: Bacteria; Pseudomonadati; Pseudomonadota; Gammaproteobacteria; Enterobacterales; Enterobacteriaceae
Description: bacterial SSU rRNA
Rfam family: Bacterial small subunit ribosomal RNA
Source: RNAcentral